GCCUUCGUGGUGUAGUGGUCUGCAUGCUAGACGUGUAACCGAGAGUUCCGUGGUUCGAUUCCCUGCGAAGGCG
Molecule: non-coding RNA, 73 nt
Organism: Stegodyphus mimosarum
Lineage: Eukaryota; Metazoa; Arthropoda; Arachnida; Araneae; Eresidae
Source: Rfam